Molecule: non-coding RNA, 25 nt
Filed under: Cricetulus griseus (Chinese hamster)
Lineage: Eukaryota; Metazoa; Chordata; Mammalia; Rodentia; Cricetidae
Source: RNAcentral
CGGAACAAGACACCAGUACCCCGCA